ACUUGAAGUAAUAUCCUCUAGUUUAUCCAUAUUAUCCUAUUUGUUAUUGCUUGAUCUUUAUAUAUUGCUUGAUUAUCCUGGUUUUGCUGCUCAUGUGUGGCUUGUGUGAUCCCCCAAUGCAGGUUUAAAUCGGCAUGUAAGUGAAGGCGUAUUUCUCCUUCACGCCUUAGACGUUGACCCCCCUCCCCCUGGUGUAGUACUGUUUAAUCAGGCAGACCCGUUCUGGCUCACAAUACCAUUUCUCUUUUUCUAAAAUCCAGGAAAUCAUCAUCUUUUGAAAGAUUCAAGGACGUUCGAGGAGUGACCAAAACCAUUGAAGACUUUGCUGAGCGAGGCAAGCAACCUACUUUGAUCAUGUUGAACCCAUAUUUGCAUUACACUUACAAUUAUUUUUCAUGCAUAAAGUAUUGUUUACUAGUAUUGCUAUGUUUAGUAAAUUAGCUAGGGUUUAACUACCCUAUGUCCUUGAUAUUAACACCCCUUUGACAUUCUUAUGCUAAGUAAAUUAGCUAGGGUUUAGCUAUGCUCUAUAUGCUUGGUAUUGACACCCUCCUUUGACAUUCUUAAUACCCCUCCUUUCUAACCAUGUAGUGGUCAAAUAAACGUGGGUUGUAUGUGCAAGUUUAAUAGUAAUGCUUAGCCAUGCUAGUCGCAUAAAUCAUAGGACUUGGGAAGAAUCUUUAUUACUCAUAAAUGUUUUACAAAAACCCAAGGGUGUCACUAAUGCCCAUGGGAUGAUUCUGAAAAUAAGGUUUUACAAAAUGGAGAUGAAGUGGAGAUUUAGUUAGGUGAUUGUGAUCUUGACGAGUAUAGUCAAAGAUGUCAGUGGAUUAUGAAAAUUUAUGUAUAGUAAAUGAGCAUGGUGGUUAUUAUAUUGGCGGAUAAAUGGAUCUUUAAUAAACUUGAAGCAAUUUGGAUUUAGUUAGGCGAUUAUGAUCUUGAACCAAAUUUCAUGGUGGAUUACGAGAUUUUGAUGCAUUUAUUUAGUUCAUUGUGAUCUUGAGGAGAUAGUCAAAGAUGUUUGGUGGAUUAAUUAACCUUGGACAAUUUGGAUUUAGUUAGGUGAUUGUGAUAUUGAACCGUAUUUCAUGAUGGAUUAUGAGAUUUUAGGUGGAUUUAGUUACGUGAUUUAAUCUUGAGAAGAAAGUCUAAAAUGUUUGGUUGAUUAUGAGAGUUUAGGUAUGUAGAUGAGCAUGGUGAUUAUUAUAUUGGUGGAUAAAUAGAUUUUAAUUUUGUUUGGAACAUUUUGUAUUUAGUUAAGUGAUUGUGAUCUUAAGCCAAAUUUCACUGUGGAUUAUCAGGUGUUGCUUGGAUUUAGUUAGGUGGUGUGAUCUUGAUGAGCUAGUAAAAGAUGUUUUGGUGGAUUAUGUGAAUUUAGGUCUAGUAGGUGAGUAUGGUGUUAAUUAUAUCGGUUAAGUAAGUAAAUUUUAAUAAACUAGAGAAAAUUUGGAUUUAGUUAGGCGAUUGUGAUCUUGAACCAAAUUUCAUGGUGGAUUACGAGAUUUUAGAUAGAUUUAGUCAGUUGAUUGUGAUCUUGAGGAGAUACUCAAAGAUAUUUGAUGGAUUAAUUAACCUUGAACAGUUUGAAUUUAGUUAGGCUACUUCGAUAUUGAGCCGAAUUUCACGAUGAUUUAUGUGAUUUUAGGUGGAUUUAGUUAAGUUAUUAUGCUCUUGAGAAUAUGGUCAAAGAUGUUCAGUGGAUGUUAAGAUUUUAGGUCUAGUACGUGAGCAUGGUGACUAUUAUAUUAGUGGAUAAACAGACCUUUAAUUUAGUUUGAAACAAUUUGAAUUUAGUUAGAUGAUUGUGAUAUUUUAAGCAAAUUCACGGUGGAUUUUGAUGUUUGGGUUAGAUUUAGUUAGGUGAUUGUGAUCCUCGCGAGAUAAUCAAAGAUGUUCGAUGGAUUAUGUGAGAAUUUAUGUCUAGUAAGUGAGCAUGGUGGUUAUUAUAUUGGUGGAUAAAUGGAUUUUUAGUAAAUUUCGAGUAAUUUGGAUUAGUUAGGCGAUUGUGAUUUUGAAUCAAAUUUCAUGGUGAAUUACGAGAUUUUAAAUUAAUUUAAUUAGUUGAUUGAGAUCUUGAGGAGAUAGUCCAAGAUGUUCGGUUGAUUAAUUAAUCUUUUAUUGACACAGUACAGACGCGAGUGCUCAUAUAAACGCGCAUACACUUACCCUUAUGAACGCACACACGCACACCCUAUCCUUAUGAGCACCUUUGAGAGACUGAGUUGGCAUAUCAUCUUGAGAUUUUACAAAGUUACCGUAGGCGUCUCGUAGUCGACAGGAACAAUUUGGAUUUAGUUCGAUGAUUGAACCAAAUUUCUCGGUGAUUUAUUUGAUUUUAGAUGGAUUUAUUUAGGUGAUUGUGCCUUGAGAAGAUAGUCAAUGUUCGUUGGAUUAUGAGAUUUUAGUUAUGGAAAUGAGCAUGAUAUUUAUUACAUUGGUAGAUAAACAUAUAUUUGAGUUAGUUUGGAUCAAUUUGGAUUUAGGUAUGUGAUUAUGAUCUUUUAACCAAAAUUUUACGGUGGAUUAUGAGGUUUUUGUUAGAUUUAGUUAGGUGAUUGAGAUCUUGACGAGCUAGUAAAAUAUGUUCGGUAGAUUAUGUGAAUUUAGGUCUAGUAGGUGAGCAUGUUGGUUAUUAUAUUGGUGGAUAAAUGGAUUUUUAGCAAACUUGGAAAAGAUUGGCUUUAGUUAGGCGAUUGUGAUCUUGAACCAAAUUUUAUGGUGAAUUAUGAGAUUUUUUAUGGAUUAGUUAGUUGAUUGUGAUCUUGAGGAGAUAGUCAAAGAUAUUCUAUGAAUUAUUUAAUCAUAUACAGUUUGGAUUUAGUUAGGUGAUUGUUAUAUUGAGCUAAAUUUCUCUGUGAUUUAUGAGACUUUAGUUGGAUUUAGUUAGGUGAUUGUGUCUUGAUGAGAAGAUAAUCAAAGAUGUUUGGUGGAUUAUGAGAUUUUAGGUCUAAUAACUGAGCAUGGUGAUUAUUAUAUUGGUGGAUAAACAAAUAUUUAAUUUAGUUUGAAACAAUUUGGUUUAGUUCGGUGAUUGUGAUCUUUUAACCAAAUUUUAGGGCGGAUUAUAAGGUUUUGGUUGGAUUUAGUUAGGUGAUUUUGAUUUUGACAAGCUAGUAAAAGAUGUUAAGUGGAUUAUGUGAAUUUAGAUCUACUAGGUGAGCAUGUUGAUUAUUAUAUUGGUUGAUAGAGAUGAGAGCCCACAAGUGAGUCAAGGCAAUGAUGCCACUACUGAAAAUAAUUGGUAAACAAGGCAACAGAGAAGAGACCGGGGUAGUGGCAGCAGAUGGACUUUGAUCCAGCAUCCCACGUGCCUGUGCACUCUCCAUUCCCCGCUGAUCCGGCUUGCUGUCCUUGUCCUGUUUGCGGAUUUUGUGUCACGCACUUGAUUAAGCAUCCCACGUUCUCCUAAUGUGCGCCCUUGGCCUUGACGAUAGAUAGCGCCGUGUUCUCGGGCGUGUCCCGUGGGUAAAAUUCAGGUAUGCGUCGAUUGUCUGAGCUCUUGCUCGCCAUUGGUGGUGCUUGAGCGUGCGGUCAUGGUGUUGCCCAGCAAGGGAACACGGGAGUGGGAUCAAGACAGCACACAUAGCAACCCGUCACCAGGCAACGGACACCCGUCCACACUUAUAGGGAGUGAAGGUGGACACAAAGGUGGAUGUUGAGAUCCAUAGCAGUCUCAAAAGUGUGCUCAUUAGUAAGACCAACACGAGCAAGAAGAUCGUGGAUAUACUCCUCUUAGGAAAUAAAGAAGCCAUUAGAGGUAGAAGAAACCUCAAUCUCAAGGAAGUAGCAACUUCUUUAGUAAACAUGAAGCAAUUUGGAUUUAGUUAGGGCAUUGUGAUAUUGAACCAAAUUUCAUGUUGGAUUACGAGAUUUUAGAUGGGUGUAGUCAGUUGAUUGUGAUCUUGAGGAGAUAGUCAAAGAUAUUUGAUGGAUUAAUUAACCUUGACCAAUUUGAAUUUAGUUAGGCUAUUAUGAUAUUGAGCCAAAUUUCACGAUGAUUUAUGUGAUAUUAGGUGGAUUUAAAUAAGUUAUUAUGAUCUUGAGAAGAUAGUCAAAGAUGUUCGGUGGAUGUUAAGAUUUUAGGUCUAGUACGUGAGCAUGGUGACUAUUAUAUUAGUGGAUAAACAGACGUUUAAUUUAUAGAUGAUUGUGGUCUUUUAAUUUAGUUAGAUGGUUGUGAUCUUUUAAGCAAAUUCACGGUGGAUUUUGAUGUUUGGGUUAGAUUUAGUUAGGUGAUUAUGAUCCUCACGAGAUAGUCAAAGAUGUUUGAUGGAUUAUGUGAGAAUUUAUGUCUAGUAAGUGAGCAUGGUGUUUAUUAUAUUGGUGGAUAAAUAGAUUUUUAGUAAACUUGGAGCAAUUUGGAUUUAGUUAGGCGAUUGUGAUUUUGGACCAAAUUUAAUGGUGAAUUACGAGAUUUUAAAUGGAUUGAAUUAGUUGAUUGAGAUCUUGAGGAGAUAGUCCAAGAUGUUUGGUUGAUUAAUAAAUCUUUUUUAACACGGUACAUACGCAAGUGCUCAUAUAAGCGUGCAUACACUCACCCCUAUGAACGCACGCACGCACACUUCGAGAGACUGAGCCGACAUAUCAUCUCUAGAUUGUACGAAGUCACCAUAGGCGUCUCGUAGUCGACAGAAACAAUUUGGAUUUAGUUCGGUGAUUGAACCAAAUUUCUCGGUGAUUUAUUUCAUUUUAGGUGGAUUUAGUUAGGUGAUUGUGUCUUGAGAAGAUAGUCAAUGUUCAUUGGAUUAUGAGAUUUUAGUUAUGGAAAUGAGCACAGUGAUUAUUAUAUUGGUAGAUAUAUAGAUAUUUGAUUUAGUUUGGAUCAAUGUGGAUUUAGGUAGGUGAUUAUGAUCUUUUAACCAAAAGUUUACGAUGGAUUAUGAGGUUUUUGUUGGAUUUAGUUAGGUGAUUGGGAUCUUGACGAGCUAGUAAAAGUUGUUUGGUAGAUUAUGUGAAUUUAGGUCUAGUAGGUGAGCAUGUUGGUUAUUAUAUUUGUGGAUAAAUGGAUUUUUAGCAAACUUGGAAAAAAUUGGAUAUAGUUAGGCGAUUGUGAUCUUGAACCAAAUUUUAUGAUAGAUUAUGAGAUUUCUUAUGGAUUAGUUAGUUGAUUGUGAUCUUGAGGAGAUAGUCAAAGAUAUUCUGUGUAUUAAUUAAUCCUAUACAAUUUGGAUUUAGUUAGGUGAUUGUGAUAUUGAGCUAAAUUUCUCUGUGAUUUAUGAGAUUUUAGUUGGAUUUAGUUAGGUGAUUGUGUCUUAUGAAGAUAAUCAAAGAUGGUUGGUGGAUUAUGAGAUUUUAGGUCUAAUAACUGAGCAUGGUGAUUAUUAUAUUGGCGGAUAAACAAAUAUUUAAUUUAGUUUGAAACAAUUUGGAUUUAGUUUGGUGAUUGUGAUCUUUUAACCUAAUUUUACGGUGGAUUAUAAGGUGAUUGUGAUUUUGACAAGCUAGUAAAAGAUGCUCGGUGGAUUAUGUGAAUUUAGGUCUAGUAGGUGAGCAUGUUGAUUAUUAUAUUGGUUGAUAGAGAUGAGGGCCACACAAGUGAGUCAAGGCGAUGAUACCACCACUGAAAAUAACUGGUAAACAAGGCAACAGAGGAGAGACUGGGGGUAGUGGCAGCAGAUGGACUUUGAUCCAGCAUCCCACAUGCCUGUGCACUCUCCGUUCCCCGCUGAUCCGGCUUGGUGUCAUUGUCCUGUUUGCGGAUUUUGUGUCACGCACUUGAUUAAGCAUCCCACGUUCUCCUAAUGCGCGCCCUUGGCCUUGACGAUAGGUAGCGCCGUGUUCUCGGGCGUGUCCCGUGGGUAAAAUUCAGGUAUGCGUCGAUUGUCUGAGCUCUUGCUCCCAUUGGUGGUGCUUGAGCGUGCGGUCAUGGUGUCGCCCAGCAAGGGAACACGGGAUGUGGGAUCAAGACAGCACACAUAGCAACCCGUCACCAGGCAACGGACGCCCGUCCGGACUUACAGGGAGUGGAGGUGGACACAAAGGUGGAUGUUGAGCUUCAUAGCAGUCUCAAUAGUGUGCCCACCAGUAAGAGCAACAUGAGCAAGAAGAUCCUGGAUAUACUCCUCUUAGGAAAUAAAGAAGCCAUUAGGGGUAGAAGAAACCUCAAUCUCAAGGAAGUAGCGAUUUCUUUAGUAAAUAUGGAGCCAUUUGGAUUUAGUUAGUCGAUUGUGAUCUUGAACAAAUUUCAUGGUGAAUUACGAGAUUUUUCAAUGGAUUUAGUUGAUUGUGAUCUUGAGGAGAUGGUCAAAGAUGUUCGGUGUAUUAAUUAAUCUUGAACAAUAUGGAUUUAGUCAGGUGAUUGUGAUACUGGACCAAAUUUCUCUGUGAUUUAUGAGAUUUUAGUUGGAUUUAGUUAGGUGAUUGUGUCUUGAGAUGAUAAUAAAAAAUAUUUUAUGGAUCAUGAGAUUUUAGGUCUAGUAGAUGAGCAUGGUGGUUAUUAUAUUGGUGGAUAAACAAAUCUUUGAUUUAGUUUGGAACAAUUUUCAACCAAAUUCACGGUGGAUUUUGAGGUUUUGUUGGAUUUAGUUAGGUGACUGUGAUCUCAACGAGUUAAUCAAAGAUGUUUGGUGAAUCAUGUUAGUUUAGAUCUAGUAAGUGAGCAUGGUGGUUAUUAUAUUGAUGGAUAAAUGGGUCUUUAGUAAACAUGGAGCAAUUUGGAUGUAGUUAGGUGAUUUUGAUCUUGAACAAAUUUCACGGUGGAUUACGAGAUUUUCAAUAGAUUUAGUUAGUAGAUUGUGAUCUUCGGAAGAUGUCAAAGAUGUUCUGUGGAUUAAUUAAUGUUAAACAAUUUGGAUUUAGUUAGAUGAUUGCAAUAUUGAACCAAAUUUCUCUGUGGUUGAGAUUUUAGUUGGAUUUAGUUAGGUGAUUGUGUCUUGAGAUGAUAAUCAAAGAUGUUUGAUGGAUUAUGAGAUUUUAGGUCUAGUAGAUGAGCAUGGUGGUUACUAUAUUGGUGGAUGAACAGAUAUUUAAUUUAGUUUGGAACAAUUUGGAUUUCGUUAGGUGAUUGUGAUCUUGAACCAAAUUUUAUGGUGGAUUAUGAGAGUUUUGAUGGAUUAGUUAGUUGAUUGUGAUCUUGAGGAGAUAGUCAAAGAUGUUUGGUGUAUUAAUUAAUCUUGAACAAUUUGGAUUUAGUUAGGUGAUUGUGAUAUUGAACCAAAUUUCUCUGUGAUUUAUGAGAUUUUAGUUGGAUUUAGUUAGGAGAUUGUCUCUUAAGAAAGUAGUGAAACAUGUUGGUGGAUUAUGAGAUUUAGGUCUAAUAGUUGAGCAUGAUGAUUAUUAUAUUGAUGGAUAAAUGAAUCUUUAAUAAAUUUGGAACAAUUUGGAUUUAGUUAGCGGACUGUGAUCUUUAACCAAAUUUUAUGGCCAUGCUCCGCCUCUUCCUCGAGGAGCUUGUGCAGUGCGGUGGUGCGGCGGCUCGUGCGGCGUGCGGUGGCCUCAGAAGAUGGGCGUUGACACCUGCAGCUUGUGCACAAUGAUGACUCCAUGUAUCUCCUGCGCCCCGCAACCCUCUCCUUCCCGGCAUAGGAGGAGCAGGAGCAAGGAUGCCGAGGUGGUUCAGGUGAAUGGUGCUUUAGCUUCAAUGACCAAUUUUAUUGCUGAAUAUUUUUCCCAUUGAAAGUGUCAAAGAAUAUACAACUUGUCGCAAGGAAGAGUAGGAAGAUCAGUCAGAGAGGGUUUCACAUACCCCUUCUACACUGACAAGUCUUUGCUUUUCAGGAUUGCCAUGUCUGUUGGCUACUGCAGGGAGCUUUGGAUGGCGGUCUUGAUAUUGCGCACAGUGACAAGAGAUUGCUGGCUUCAAGAAGGAUAAGAAGCAGCUGGGCGGUGAGAUUUACCGCAAAUACAUCUAUGAAGGUCAUGUUGCUGACUACAUGAAGUCAAUAGCUGAUGAGGAAUCUAAGAAGUACCAAUCUCACUUCAGUGAGUACAUCAAGAAGAAUAUUGCGGCCGAUGACAUGGAAGCACUGUACAAGAAGGUUCACGCUACCAUUCGUGCUUAUCCUACCAUGGCAAAAUCAACGAAGGAACCUCCAAAGACGCACAAGAUGCAUGAUGAACUACACGCUAAAGUUCAGCUGAAGUUCCCCUGUUAUCUUCUACUACAAGAGUUCUGUCGAUUUGUACUACUUGGCUGCAAAUGUAUGCCGUUUGCAUCACCAUACGGAUAGUGGUUUGUUCUUCUGGCAUUAUUGAUGGUUCUCAUCAUAGCCAUACUGAAUGAUGGCAAGUGGCAUCUCUGAAUUUAUCAUAUGAAUUAUGACUUUAUGAGCUUGCUUGGCUACUGACCUGCUGUGUGGGAAGGGCAUCCUUUUACCAGAGCUAUAUUGAUUUUAAUAUGCUCCAUUUCCUUCAGGGUUUCUGAAUAUACUCGCAAGUCGCAACCAUGGCCUUACAGUGCUACACGCCUCUGCUGAAGCCCCAACUGGCCCAAGUCUCGGUCAACCCUUCCAUUAACACGAUACAGAUUCCAGAGUCAGUGCUCCGCCCCUCUGCUGAAGCCCUUACUGGCCCAAGUCUCGGCCAGCCCUUCUCUAAAUCGAUGCAGAUUGCAGAUUUGCCUUGCACCAAUAUGCUCCUUGCAUAAGCUAGUAAUCUCUGGCCAUAUUUCAUUUUUUAUCCUACUUGCAUCAUGCCUGAUGACUUUUUUUGUGCCACCAAUUUUAGUGUAUGUUCGAGGUGUAGCAGAUUUUACGGAUCUUUUUUGUGUGUCAUUGCUUCAUCAAAUGGGAAUUUAAGUAAUGGGAGAUUCGUCAAAUGGAAAUUUAAACCAAUUUAUGAUUUGGUGAGGAAUCUAUAUAUAUUAGUGUGUGUUGUUACGUUGAGCUCUAAAUAACGGGGAGCACACAAAAUUACAUUCAAUCCAAAUAGGGCUGGUGUUUGCAUCUGUAUUCUGUAGUUCUGUAUGUUGAAUUCAAAUAAACUGCUUCUUUUUGGGUGUUCAUUUUCGUCUUAAUAAUGGUGAUUGUUAUUCACUUGGAAUCAUCAUGUAAACCUAGCUGGACAUGGUCAAACUAUAAUUUUCCAUGUUUCAAAAUAUUAUAUGGUUUAGUACUUUGUUCUGAGAGUCUUUCUUCCCAGAAUGGAUUUUUUCCCAGUAUUCUCCUAAAUCUUUUUGUGGUGUCUUGAUGUGAUCUGGUCAUCAUGCAUGAACUGUAUUGAAUUCUUGUAAGGAAGCAUUUGAAUGUUACUUGUCCUGGUCUAAUUAUCUGCAAUCCACAGGUUAUGGAACUGCACUUGCAUUGGUAGCAGGAAUGACCUUGCUUGGGCGACCUUCUCUGUUAUGAUAUUGUUGUCUAAGUUAAAAAAACCUGAAUCUGCUCCAUGGUUUUGUUAUGUUGGAUGUGCCCCAAGAAGCUUCUUUCUUUUGAUUUUUGUUGUCAAUAUAUUCUGUGGAUGCUCCUCAUACUCAUUAUGAAACGUUCUUCAUAACUAUGGCGAAUCACAUGAAGUUCAAAUGUUAGCAUAGCUACUAAGUUGUAUGUUCGGCAAUGACACAAUGCAUAGGUCAAGUGUUAGUUUUCUGAAACUAUUGUACUGUGAACUGAUGCUAACUUCCUCACUGUAGUUUGGCCAACAUCGAGCUGCGGUACCUGGAGUUGAUGUGGAGGAAAAGACCUUAGCAAGACUAUUGACCGUCGCCUUGCAACUCAAUUUCUUCAGAAGUGUCUUGGCCUAAGAUAUGACAACUUGAGAAUUCAGAUUUUCUGUAGCGCAGAACCCAUUAGCUCCUAUCUUUGUGCUAGCUAAACUUGAACUUAAGUUGUAGUGUUGUAGUCAAAUUAUUUAUGUACUGAAUUUUUGUUCUUUUAUGUGCAUUGGCGUGUCAAUUUCUGUUCUUGUUUUCCUGCAAAAUAAUAAUAAUCUGUUCUUGUUUC
Molecule: non-coding RNA, 9875 nt
Organism: Aegilops tauschii subsp. strangulata
Lineage: Eukaryota; Viridiplantae; Streptophyta; Magnoliopsida; Poales; Poaceae
Source: RefSeq, a predicted model, not a curated record